AUUUGCGUAGCUUAAACCUAAAGCACAGCACUGAAGAUGCUAAGAUGAAAUUUAAAAUCUUCCACAAAUA
This 70-nucleotide transfer RNA is filed under the name Hypogeophis rostratus. RNAcentral's name for it is "tRNA-Phe". It matches the Rfam family "tRNA". Rfam says of the family: Transfer RNA (tRNA) molecules are approximately 80 nucleotides in length. Their secondary structure includes four short double-helical elements and three loops (D, anti-codon, and T loops). The record is from RNAcentral. Lineage: Eukaryota; Metazoa; Chordata; Amphibia; Gymnophiona; Indotyphlidae.